AAGAAGAAGAAAAUCAACUAUACGGAACAACAAUCAAAACGGAACAACAUGAACUUGACGGAACCGUCUCCCAGCGAGACUUUUACCUACCGACCACAACCAGCAUCGGCAAACUAGCUUCCGGCAUGCAGUUACACCCGCUGAAAAAGUUCGGUCUUCCUUCACCACAGCGACGCUCGCCCGCAAGGGUUGGUUCCUGAUGGCGGCGACAAUCAAUUACGAGGACGAGGACCUUUGGUUUGACGUGAUGGCACUGGCCAAUGUCAGUAACAGCUGGAUUUUUAAGGAUGCCCAGACAGGAUCGGAAUAGAAUUCUGAAAGGUUCCGGUUCACAAUAAUGGCGGCAAUCGUUUCCAAGGAGGAUCCCGUGAGGUAGGGAAAACUAACCAUCAUCCGCGGAACGUAGGCGCUUGAUAGAUUUUCAAGUGGCUAACCUUCCCGCAAGGACAACCUGGUCAAUCGUUUGAUGUGCGCACAUUCCCGCUAUGUUACUACGGAACCAUCACCAGGAUCACCCCAGACCCCAGGCAAAAAGAAAAAUGAGG
Molecule: long non-coding RNA, 545 nt
Organism: Uranotaenia lowii
Lineage: Eukaryota; Metazoa; Arthropoda; Insecta; Diptera; Culicidae
Exons: 4
Source: RefSeq, a predicted model, not a curated record